This is a small nucleolar RNA of Rattus norvegicus (Norway rat), 105 nucleotides long. Ensembl annotates it as small nucleolar RNA U13. The record is from Ensembl. NCBI's taxonomy places the organism in Eukaryota, Metazoa, Chordata, Mammalia, Rodentia, Muridae.
AUCCUUUCUUUGGUUCACAAGCAUGAUGUUUGAAUGUUCACUCUGUUGAGUGGCAUGCGUCACCCACAAACCUUGUUACCACAUAGGAACGAUACCCAUCUGAUG